UUUGCAUGAUGAUAAAAAUAAAUUUCAGUUCUGCUUCUGAACCAAGGAGGAAGAUAACCAAUAUUACCAAAGCUCAAUUACAUCUGAUCA
Molecule: small nucleolar RNA, 90 nt
Filed under: Lachancea mirantina
Lineage: Eukaryota; Fungi; Ascomycota; Saccharomycetes; Saccharomycetales; Saccharomycetaceae
Source: RNAcentral